RNAcentral lists this transfer RNA (73 nucleotides) under Camelus bactrianus (Bactrian camel). It matches the Rfam family "tRNA". From Rfam's summary of the family: Transfer RNA (tRNA) molecules are approximately 80 nucleotides in length. Their secondary structure includes four short double-helical elements and three loops (D, anti-codon, and T loops). The record is from Rfam by way of RNAcentral. Lineage: Eukaryota; Metazoa; Chordata; Mammalia; Artiodactyla; Camelidae. RNAcentral also lists the same sequence under 1 other name.
GAGGGUAUAGCUCCAUGGUAAAGUGCAUGCUUAGCAGGCAUGAGGUCCUGGGUUCAAUCCCGCAGUACCUCCA